CCUACGGGAGGCAGCAGUGAGGAAUAUUGGUCAAUGGGCGCGAGCCUGAACCAGCCAAGUAGCGUGAAGGAUGACUGCCCUACGGGUUGUAAACUUCUUUUAUAAAGGAAUAAAGUGAGGCACGUGUGCCUUUUUGUAUGUACUUUAUGAAUAAGGCUCGGCUAACUCCGUUCCAGCAGCCGGGGGUAUACGGAGGAUUCGAGCGUUAUCCGGAUUUAUUGGGUUUAAAGGGAGCGUAGAUGGGGUGUUAAGUCAGUUGUGAAAGUUUGCGGCUCAACCGUAAAAUUGCAAUUGAUACUGGCAGCCUUGAGUACAGUUGAGGUAGGCGGAAUGCGUGGUGUAGCGGUGAAAUGCUUAGAUAUCACGAAGAACUCCGAUUGCGAAGGCAGCUUACUAAACUGCCACUGACAUUGAUGCUCGAAAGUGUGGGUAUCAAACAGGAUUAGAUACCCGUGUAGUC
RNAcentral lists this ribosomal RNA (460 nucleotides) under uncultured bacterium. Its description in RNAcentral is "partial 16S ribosomal RNA". It matches the Rfam family "Bacterial small subunit ribosomal RNA", at positions 338 to 795 of the family's 1533-position model. The record is from RNAcentral.